Long non-coding RNA from Telopea speciosissima, 245 nucleotides. RefSeq lists it as uncharacterized. The record is from RefSeq and is a predicted model, not a curated record. NCBI's taxonomy places the organism in Eukaryota, Viridiplantae, Streptophyta, Magnoliopsida, Proteales, Proteaceae. The transcript is spliced from 3 exons.
UGAGGAGUGGGAUCAGGAUGAAGAUAACCAGCACGAUCCUCGAAGACAAUACCAACAAUGCCAGAGGCGCUGCCAGCAACAGGAGAGAGACCCUCGACAGCAACAACAAUGCCAACGACGCUGUGAGGGGAGAUAUGCAGACCAGCAGCAAGAGGAAGAUGAAAACAACCAGCGCGAUCCUCGCAGACAAUACCAGCAAUGCCAGAGGCGCUGCCAACAGCAAGAGAGAGACCCAAGGCAGCAAC